This is a non-coding RNA of Pocillopora verrucosa, 282 nucleotides long. The record is from RefSeq and is a predicted model, not a curated record. NCBI's taxonomy places the organism in Eukaryota, Metazoa, Cnidaria, Anthozoa, Scleractinia, Pocilloporidae.
CUUAAAUCAUUUCCAUGGAAAGUACCAGCUACAACGACAAUCUUAGACCUGAGUGAUAACCAUUUGGAGGAGCUACCAUCUGACUUGCUUGCCAACCUCAGCAAUCUUCAAGAAUUGAGAUUAAACAAAAACAAGCUGAAAGACCUUCCUCCAACCCUAUUUGAUCGCAAUCCACAUUUGAAUAUCCUAGACCUGAGUGAUAACCAUUUGGAGGAGCUACCAUCUGACUUGCUUGCCAACCUCAGCAAUCUUCAAGCAUUGUACGUUGAAUUACGUUUGCCA